RNAcentral lists this ribosomal RNA (616 nucleotides) under Bacillus sp. HKA-121. RNAcentral's name for it is "bacterial SSU rRNA". It matches the Rfam family "Bacterial small subunit ribosomal RNA", at positions 116 to 721 of the family's 1533-position model. Lineage: Bacteria; Bacillati; Bacillota; Bacilli; Caryophanales; Bacillaceae. The record is from RNAcentral.
CGUGGGUAACCUGCCUGUAAGACUGGGAUAACUCCGGGAAACCGGGGCUAAUACCGGAUGCUUGUUUGAACCGCAUGGUUCAAACAUAAAAGGUGGCUUCGGCUACCACUUACAGAUGGACCCGCGGCGCAUUAGCUAGUUGGUGAGGUAAUGGCUCACCAAGGCAACGAUGCGUAGCCGACCUGAGAGGGUGAUCGGCCACACUGGGACUGAGACACGGCCCAGACUCCUACGGGAGGCAGCAGUAGGGAAUCUUCCGCAAUGGACGAAAGUCUGACGGAGCAACGCCGCGUGAGUGAUGAAGGUUUUCGGAUCGUAAAGCUCUGUUGUUAGGGAAGAACAAGUACCGUUCGAAUAGGGCGGUACCUUGACGGUACCUAACCAGAAAGCCACGGCUAACUACGUGCCAGCAGCCGCGGUAAUACGUAGGUGGCAAGCGUUGUCCGGAAUUAUUGGGCGUAAGGGCUCGCAGGCGGUUCCUUAAGUCUGAUGUGAAGCCCCCGGCUCAACCGGGGAGGGUCAUUGGAACUGGGGAACUUGAGUGCAGAAGAGGAGAGUGGAAUUCCACGUGUAGCGGUGAAUGCGUAGAGAUGUGGAGGAACACCAGUGGCGAAGG